CCUGCGAGUCGCACGAGUUCACACUCGUGGCAAACGGCUCAGUAACACGUGGCCAAACUGCCCCAUGGACGCGGAUAAUUUCGGGAAACUGAGGCUAAUCCGUGAUACUGCUCUCGAGCUGGAAUGCUGAGAGCACGAAACGCUCCGGCGCCAUAGGAUGUGGCUGCGGCCGAUUAGGUAGACGGUGGGGUAACGGCCCACCGUGCCGAUAAUCGGUACGGGUAGUGAGAGCUAGAGCCCGGAGACGGACUCUGAGACAAGAGUCCGGGCCCUACGGGGCGCAGCAGGCGCGAAACCUUUACACUGCACGACAGUGCGAUAGGGGGAUUCCGAGUGCGAGGGCAUACAGUCCUCGCUUUUCUGUACCUUAAGGUGGUACAGGAAUAAGAGCUGGGCAAGACCGGUGCCAGCCGCCGCGGUAAUACCGGCAGCUCAAGUGAUGACCGAUUUUAUUGGGCCUAAAGCGUCCGUAGCCGGCCAGGUUGGUCCGUCGGGAAAUCCACUCGCUCAACGAGUGGGCGUCCGGCGGAUACCGCCUGGCUUGGGACCGGGAGACCAGAGGGGUACGUCUGGGGUAGGAGUGAAAUCCUGUAAUCCUAGACGGACCAUCGGUGGCGAAAGCGCCUCUGGAGAACGGAUCCGACGGUGAGGGACGAAAGCUAGGGUCUCGAACCGGAUUAGAUACCCGGGUAGUCCUAGCCGUAAACGAUGCUCACUAGGUGUGACGCAGGCUACGAGCCUGCGUUGUGCCGUAGGGAAGCCGUGAAGUGAGCCGCCUAGGCAGAUACGUCCGCAAGAUGAACUCAAA
This 808-nucleotide ribosomal RNA is filed under the name uncultured euryarchaeote. RNAcentral's name for it is "bacterial SSU rRNA". It matches the Rfam family "Archaeal small subunit ribosomal RNA", at positions 50 to 860 of the family's 1478-position model. Lineage: Archaea; Methanobacteriati; Methanobacteriota. The record is from RNAcentral.